RNAcentral lists this long non-coding RNA (503 nucleotides) under Elaeis guineensis (African oil palm). RNAcentral describes it as "long non-coding RNA (EGUI_LNC072252)". Lineage: Eukaryota; Viridiplantae; Streptophyta; Magnoliopsida; Arecales; Arecaceae. The record is from RNAcentral.
GCCCGUUCGUUCUUUAUCCAUUAUUACGGAACCUAAGGACGAACUCGUGCUUAUCGCUCUUGGGGGUCUUCUAAAUUGAAGUUUUAGUAAUUCAGGGGUCUAUAAUUCACAUUCUUUUAGUUAUAGCGGCAAAUGUCGGAAUGAGAAGGACUUCUGCGGGACAGUUGUUGGCUGGGGUAAGGUAGAGCUGCUUUUGCUUAUUGAUUUAUCUCCUUCUUUAAUUACCUUUUCUCGCUCUCGUCUCUUAACAAAAUGGGAAUCCGUAGUGAAAGAUCCAUUUAUUUUGCGAUUGAUCUCUUCCUUUCUUGACUUGCCCACCCUCGACAACACAGGAACGGAUUUAUCGUCUAAAAGGGGGAUCCCACGGGGGGUACCUAUUUUCACAGAAGUUUUGUUUAAUUUCAAUCUCGAUUCCUUGGAUAGAGCCUUUGAAACCCACUUUCCUACUUUUAUUUAAAUACGCACGUUUUGGUUCUCAGAUCUUCAUUCCUGUAUUUAGGGGC